RNAcentral lists this ribosomal RNA (468 nucleotides) under uncultured bacterium. Its description in RNAcentral is "partial 16S ribosomal RNA". It matches the Rfam family "Bacterial small subunit ribosomal RNA", at positions 28 to 507 of the family's 1533-position model. The record is from RNAcentral.
GACGAACGCUGGCGGCGUGCUUAACACAUGCAAGUCGAACGGAAAGGCCCUGCUUUUGUGGGGUGCUCGAGUGGCGAAAGGAUGAGUAACACGUGAGUAACCUGCCCUUGACUUUGGGAUAACUUCAGGAAACUGGGGCUAAUACCGGAUAGGAGCUCCUGCUGCAUGGUGGGGGUUGGAAAUUUUCGGCGGUUGGGGAUGGACUCGCGGCUUAUCAGCUUGUUGGUGGGGUCGUGGCUUACCAAGGCUUGGACGGGUAGCCGGCCUGAGAGGGUGACCGGCCACAUUGGGACUGAGAUACGGCCCAGACUCCUACGGGAGGCAGCAGUGGGGAAUAUUGCACAAUGGGCGGAAGCCUGAUGCAGCAACGCCGCGUGCGGGAUGACGGCCUUCGGGUUGUAAACCGCUUUCGCCUGUGACGAAGCGUGAGUGACGGUAAUGGGUAAAGAAGCACCGGCUAACUACGUG